RNAcentral lists this long non-coding RNA (257 nucleotides) under Nicotiana benthamiana. RNAcentral describes it as "long non-coding RNA (NBEN_LNC009456)". Lineage: Eukaryota; Viridiplantae; Streptophyta; Magnoliopsida; Solanales; Solanaceae. The record is from RNAcentral.
GAUUGUCCAAAUGUCCUUGUGAACUCCUUGAUCCUUUUCUUCAAGAUUUCUUGAAGUUUGUAUCACCACAAUAAUCCCUCACAAGGCUUAAACAAUAUCUGUAUAGUUUCACAAUAAUAAUAUGACAAUACCAAAGGUUGGUAUAUGGUUUUCCACAAUUAUUUGCAAGACAAUAAUGGUGUUUUUGCUCUUGAUUCAAUGGGAGGAAGAAGAGUCUUGUCUUGCAAUAAUGUGGGAACCAUAACCCCCACUUUANN